CAACUUUCAACAACGGAUCUCUUGGCUCUCGCAUCGAUGAAGAACG
Molecule: ribosomal RNA, 46 nt
Filed under: Cuphophyllus canescens
Lineage: Eukaryota; Fungi; Basidiomycota; Agaricomycetes; Agaricales; Hygrophoraceae
Description: Hygrophorus canescens partial 5.8S ribosomal RNA
Rfam family: 5.8S ribosomal RNA
About the family: 5.8S ribosomal RNA (5.8S rRNA) is a component of the large subunit of the eukaryotic ribosome. It is transcribed by RNA polymerase I as part of the 45S precursor that also contains 18S and 28S rRNA. Functionally, it is thought that 5.8S rRNA may be involved in ribosome translocation.
Source: RNAcentral